CAGCGCCUGCAAAGAUCUGAUAGACCGCAUGCUUCAGAGGGAUCCCAAGCGACGGGCUUCCCUGGAGGAGAUUGAGAGCCAUGCGUGGCUGCAGGG
Molecule: long non-coding RNA, 96 nt
Organism: Etheostoma spectabile (orangethroat darter)
Lineage: Eukaryota; Metazoa; Chordata; Actinopteri; Perciformes; Percidae
Exons: 3
Source: RefSeq, a predicted model, not a curated record